RNAcentral lists this ribosomal RNA (309 nucleotides) under uncultured bacterium. Its description in RNAcentral is "partial 16S ribosomal RNA". It matches the Rfam family "Bacterial small subunit ribosomal RNA", at positions 504 to 807 of the family's 1533-position model. The record is from RNAcentral.
AGAGACAGCAGCAGCCGCGGGAAUACAGAGGGUGCGAGCGUUAAUCGGAUUUACUGGGCGUAAAGCCUGCGUAGGCGGCUUCUUAAGUCGGAUGUGAAAUCCCUGAGCUUAACUUAGGAAUUGCAUUCGAUACUGGGAAGCUAGAGUAUGGGAGAGGAUGGUAGAAUUCCAGGUGUAGCGGUGAAAUGCGUAGAGAUCUGGAGGAAUACCGAUGGCGAAGGCAGCCAUCUGGCCUAAUACUGACGCUGAGGUACGAAAGCAUGGGGAGCAAACAGGAUUAGAUACCCCAGUAGUCCCUGUCUCUUAUAC